GGGGUGCAGCAGGCGCGAAACCUUUGCAAUGCGCGAAAGCGUGACAGGGGAAAUCUGAGUGGCNAGAACUUAGUUCUCGUCUUUUGCCAAGUGCAAAUAGCUUGGAGAAUAAGGGUGUGGGCAAGACUGGUGCCAGCCGCCGCGGUAACACCAGCGCCUCGAGUGGUACCCACGANUAUUGGGCCUAAAGCGUCCGUAGCCGGNCCAUUAAGUCCGNUGUGAAAUGUUGGGGNUCAACCCUAACGCUUNCAGUGGAUACUUUUGGUCUUGGGAAUGGGGGAGGNUCGGGGUACUUCCAGGGUAGGGGUAAAAUCCGUUGAUCCCGGAAGGACCACCAGUGGCGAAGGCUCNGAUCCAAAACAUAUCCGCCGGUGAGGGACGAAAGCUGGGGGAGCAAACGGGAUUANNUACCCCCGUANUCNCACCUUUAAAUNNUCCAGACNUUUGGUNUUCCCUAUGAGUAAUCAUAGGCCAGUGCUGUAGGCGUAGGUGUUAAGUNUGCCGCCCUGGGAGUACG
Molecule: ribosomal RNA, 517 nt
Filed under: uncultured euryarchaeote
Lineage: Archaea; Methanobacteriati; Methanobacteriota
Description: partial 16S ribosomal RNA
Rfam family: Archaeal small subunit ribosomal RNA
Source: RNAcentral